Molecule: ribosomal RNA, 484 nt
Filed under: uncultured bacterium
Lineage: Bacteria
Description: partial 16S ribosomal RNA
Rfam family: Bacterial small subunit ribosomal RNA
Source: RNAcentral
AUUGAACGCUGGCGGCAGGCCUAACACAUGCAAGUCGAGCGGAUGAAGGGAGCUUGCUCCUGGAUUCAGCGGCGGACGGGUGAGUAAUGCCUAGGAAUCUGCCUGGUAGUGGGGGAUAACGUCCGGAAACGGGCGCUAAUACCGCAUACGUCCUGAGGGAGAAAGUGGGGGAUCUUCGGACCUCACGCUAUCAGAUGAGCCUAGGUCGGAUUAGCUAGUUGGUGGGGUAAAGGCCUACCAAGGCGACGAUCCGUAACUGGUCUGAGAGGAUGAUCAGUCACACUGGAAAUGAGACACGGUCCAGACUCCUACGGGAGGCAGCAGUGGGGAAUAUUGGACAAUGGGCGAAAGCCUGAUCCAGCCAUGCCGCGUGUGUGAAGAAGGUCUUCGGAUUGUAAAGCAAUUUAAGUUGGGAGGAAGGGCAGUAAGUUAAUACCUUGCUGUUUUGACGUUACCAACAGAAUAAGCACCGGCUAACUUCGUG